This 499-nucleotide ribosomal RNA is filed under the name uncultured bacterium. RNAcentral describes it as "bacterial SSU rRNA". It matches the Rfam family "Bacterial small subunit ribosomal RNA", at positions 28 to 530 of the family's 1533-position model. The record is from RNAcentral.
GACGAACGCUGGCGGCGUGCCUAACACAUGCAAGUCGAGCGGGGUUGAAGCGAGAGGUAACUCGAACUUCUACCUAGCGGCGGACGGGUGAGUAACGCGUGGGCAACCUGCCUCAAGGUCUGGGAUAACAGCCCGAAAGGGCUGCUAAUACUGGGUAUGCUUGUGGCCUCGCAUGGGGCUAUGAGCAAAGGGGAAACCCGCCUUGAGAUGGGCCCGCGUCCCAUCAGCUAGUUGGUGAGGUAACAGCUCACCAAGGCGACGACGGGUAGCCGGCCUGAGAGGGUGACCGGCCACACUGGGACUGAGACACGGCCCAGACUCCUACGGGGGGCAGCAGUGGGGGAUCUUGCACAAUGGGCGAAAGCCUGAUGCAGCGACGCCGCGUGAGCGAAGAAGGCCUUCGGGUUGUAAGCUCUGUCUGGAGGGACGAAGGAAGUGACGGUACUCCGGAGGAAGCCACGGCUAACUACGUGCCAGCAGCCGCGGUAAAGUCACGUCG